UUAAGCGAACAAGCGUACACGGUGGAUGCCCUGGCAGUCAGAGGCGAUGAAGGACGUGCUAAUCUGCGAAAAGCGCCGGUAAGGUGAUAUGAACCGUUACAGCCGGCGAUGUCCGAAUGGGGAAACCCAGUGCAAUUCGUUGCACUAUCUCAGCAUGAAUACAUAGUGCUGUGAGGCGAACCGGGGGAACUGAAACAUCUAAGUACCCCGAGGAAAAGAAAUCAACCGAGAUUCCCCCAGUAGCGGCGAGCGAACGGGGAACAGCCCAGAGCCUGAAUCAGCUUGUGUGUCAGUGGAACGGUCUGGAAAGGCCGGCGAUACAGGGUGACAGCCCCGUACACGAAGGCACACAGGCUGUGAGCUCGAUGAGUAGGGCGGGACACGUGAUAUCCUGUCUGAAGAUGGGGGGACCAUCCUCCAAGGCUAAAUACUCCUGACUGACCGAUAGUGAACCAGUACCGUGAGGGAAAGGCGAAAAGAACCCCGGCGAGGGGAGUGAAACAGAACCUGAAACCGUGUACGUACAAGCAGUGGGAGCCUUCGUAAGAGGGUGACUGCGUACCUUUUGUAUAAUGGGUCAGCGACUUAUAUUCUGUAGCAAGGUUAACCGUAUAGGGGAGCCGAAGGGAAACCGAGUCUUAAUUGGGCGUUAAGUUGCAGGGUAUAGACCCGAAACCCGGUGAUCUAGCCAUGGGCAGGUUGAAGGUUGGGUAACACUAACUGGAGGACCGAACCGACUAAUGUUGAAAAAUUAGCGGAUGACCUGUGGCUGGGGGUGAAAGGCCAAUCAAACCGGGAGAUAGCUGGUUCUCCCCGAAAGCUAUUUAGGUAGCGCCUCGUGAACUCAUCUUCGGGGGUAGAGCACUGUUUCGGCUAGGGGGCCAUCCCGGCUUACCAACCCGAUGCAAACUACGAAUACCGAAGAAUGUUAUCACGGGAGACACACGGCGGGUGCUAACGUCCGUCGUGAAGAGGGAAACAACCCAGACCGCCAGCUAAGGUCCCAAAGUCAUGGUUAAGUGGGAAACGAUGUGGGAAGGCACAGACAGCCAGGAUGUUGGCUUAGAAGCAGCCAUCAUUUAAAGAAAGCGUAAUAGCUCACUGGUCGAGUCGGCCUGCGCGGAAGAUGUAACGGGGCUAAACCAUGCACCGAAGCUGCGGCAGCGACACUAUGUGUUGUUGGGUAGGGGAGCGUUCUGUAAGCCUGCGAAGGUGUGCUGUGAGGCAUGCUGGAGGUAUCAGAAGUGCGAAUGCUGACAUAAGUAACGAUAAAGCGGGUGAAAAGCCCGCUCGCCGGAAGACCAAGGGUUCCUGUCCAACGUUAAUCGGGGCAGGGUGAGUCGACCCCUAAGGCGAGGCCGAAAGGCGUAGUCGAUGGGAAACAGGUUAAUAUUCCUGUACUUGGUGUUACUGCGAAGGGGGGACGGAGAAGGCUAUGUUGGCCGGGCGACGGUUGUCCCGGUUUAAGCGUGUAGGUGUGUGUUCCAGGUAAAUCCGGUUCACUUUAACACUGAGGCGUGAUGACGAGGCACUACGGUGCUGAAGUAACAAAUGCCCUGCUUCCAGGAAAAGCCUCUAAGCAUCAGGUAACACGAAAUCGUACCCCAAACCGACACAGGUGGUCAGGUAGAGAAUACCAAGGCGCUUGAGAGAACUCGGGUGAAGGAACUAGGCAAAAUGGUGCCGUAACUUCGGGAGAAGGCACGCUGACAUGUAGGUGAAGCCCCUGCGGGUGGAGCUGAAGUCAGUCGAAGAUACCAGCUGGCUGCAACUGUUUAUUAAAAACACAGCACUGUGCAAACACGAAAGUGGACGUAUACGGUGUGACGCCUGCCCGGUGCCGGAAGGUUAAUUGAUGGGGUUAUCGCAAGAGAAGCUCCUGAUCGAAGCCCCGGUAAACGGCGGCCGUAACUAUAACGGUCCUAAGGUAGCGAAAUUCCUUGUCGGGUAAGUUCCGACCUGCACGAAUGGCGUAAUGAUGGCCAGGCUGUCUCCACCCGAGACUCAGUGAAAUUGAACUCGCUGUGAAGAUGCAGUGUACCCGCGGCAAGACGGAAAGACCCCGUGAACCUUUACUACAGCUUGACACUGAACAUUGAGCCUUGAUGUGUAGGAUAGGUGGGAGGCUUUGAAGCGUGGACGCCAGUCUGCGUGGAGCCAACCUUGAAAUACCACCCUUUAAUGUUUGAUGUUCUAACCUGGCGCCAUAAUCUGGCGUGGGGACAGUGUCUGGUGGGUAGUUUGACUGGGGCGGUCUCCUCCCAAAGUGUAACGGAGGAGCACGAAGGUCAGCUAAUCCUGGUCGGACAUCAGGAGGUUAGUGCAAUGGCAUAAGCUGGCUUGACUGCGAGAGUGACGGCUCGAGCAGGUGCGAAAGCAGGUCAUAGUGAUCCGGUGGUUCUGUAUGGAAGGGCCAUCGCUCAACGGAUAAAAGGUACUCCGGGGAUAACAGGCUGAUACCGCCCAAGAGUUCAUAUCGACGGCGGUGUUUGGCACCUCGAUGUCGGCUCAUCACAUCCUGGGGCUGAAGUAGGUCCCAAGGGUAUGGCUGUUCGCCAUUUAAAGUGGUACGCGAGCUGGGUUUAGAACGUCGUGAGACAGUUCGGUCCCUAUCUGCCGUGGGCGCUGGAGAAUUGAGGGGGGCUGCUCCCAGUACGAGAGGACCGGAGUGGACGCAUCACUGGUGUUCGGGUUGUCAUGCCAAUGGCACUGCCCGGUAGCUAAAUGCGGAAGAGAUAAGUGCUGAAAGCAUCUAAGCACGAAACUUGCCCCGAGAUGAGUUCUCCCUGAGACUAUAAGUCUCCUGAAGGAACGUUGAAGACGACGACGUUGAUAGGCCGGGUGUGUAAGCGCAGCGAUGCGUUGAGCUAACCGGUACUAAUGAACCGUGAGGCUUAACCUU
Molecule: ribosomal RNA, 2902 nt
Filed under: Cronobacter dublinensis
Lineage: Bacteria; Pseudomonadati; Pseudomonadota; Gammaproteobacteria; Enterobacterales; Enterobacteriaceae
Description: bacterial LSU rRNA
Rfam family: Bacterial large subunit ribosomal RNA
Source: RNAcentral